ACGGAAUAGAUACCCCGGUAGUCUUGGCCUUAAACGAUGUUCACUAGGUGUUGGGGGUAACCCUCGGUGCCGCAGCUAAACGCAUUAAAGUGAAACCGCCUGGGGACUACGGCCGCAAGGUUGAAACUCAAAGGAAUUGGCGGGGGACCGGCACAAGCGGUGGAGCAUGUGGCUUAAUUCGAUGCAACGCGAAGAACCUUACCAGGGCUUGACAUGUAUCUGCAAGUCGCCGAAAAGCGAUCGCUUUCGAAGGUGAUACACAGGUGGUGCAUGGCUGUCGUCAGCUCGUGUUGUGAAAUGUUGGGUUAAGUCCCGCAACGAGCGCAACCCUCAUCGUUUGUUACCAGCGAGUAAAGUCGGGGACUCGAACGAAACUGCCUCUGUAAAGAGGAGGAAGGCGGGGAUGACGUCAAGUCAUCAUGCCCCUUACGCCCUGGGCUGCACACAUGCUACAAUGGCUGAUACAAAGGGUCGCCAACUCGCGAGAGUGAGCUAAUCCCAAAAAAAUCAGUCUCAGUUCGGAUCGCAGUCUGC
RNAcentral lists this ribosomal RNA (534 nucleotides) under uncultured bacterium. RNAcentral describes it as "bacterial SSU rRNA". It matches the Rfam family "Bacterial small subunit ribosomal RNA", at positions 772 to 1308 of the family's 1533-position model. The record is from RNAcentral.